Molecule: small RNA, 127 nt
Filed under: Marmota monax (woodchuck)
Lineage: Eukaryota; Metazoa; Chordata; Mammalia; Rodentia; Sciuridae
Source: RNAcentral
GCCAGAUGUGGUGGCACAAGUCUGUAAUCCCAGUGACUUGGGAGGCUGGGGCAGGAGGAUUGCAUGUUUGAAGCCAGCCUCAGUGUCUUAGUGAGGCCCUAACCUAUUUUGUGAGACCCUGUCUCAA